CCUCAUCAAAUGAAGGUGGCAGAAGUGUGGCGACCUAGCAUAGAUGUUUCACAGCCUCAAGGCUUGCAGAAUCAGAGAAGUCAGAAGCCUGCUAUGUAUAAUAUGUAGGCAUGUCUUCUUACUUCAUGAGUCUCUAUCUACUUUCCAGUAGGCAAAUUUUUGUAAGCAGACUUAUCUUACUUGAGAAUCCUCGCUUCUUUCCAGAUUUCUUGAGAAAAGUGAUCCCAAUGGUAACUCUGAAGUUGAUGAGUGCGCUAGGAUGCUAAAAGAUGCAGCUGAAAGCUUGAUUUCAUAUUUUAUUUAAAAUAAUAGUCAGUGCUAUUACUUGCUGGUAGUGACUGCAAAAUGUUUGAAUUUUUCACUUUUUAGCACAAAACGCGGCUAUAGAAGAGUACUGGGGAAAGUGACACCAGGAACAUUAAAAAUUCCAGGAGUACAGAGUAAAGAAGCCCUACUUCCAGAUAUUAGCUUAUGCUGAUAAACACAAAAAUGAAAUGAUAAUUGCUGCUAACCAAGGCAAGCCCAGCAUCUUCUCCCUUCUUUAAAGCUUCAUCUAUCUCUGGGUCACCAGAGUGAUUCUUUGCCCAAUCAUAUAUAGUUUAUGGUCAUUGGUCAUCAUAACAUCUACAUUUUAGCGCUGGGUAAUGAAAACAGAACAGAACAUGGUAAAUUUAACUGAAUAUGUCCCACAAAUAUUUGUACGACGGAUGCUAGUUUAACUCGAACCAAUUGCACUAAAUAGAAUAGAACACUUGAAAGAAGGUAAAAUCAGCCUCCGCAACAACGACUUUCACUAAGUAGAAGGACAUUCCCUUCCCCAGCAGCCCCACACCAAGACCUCGAUGUGAGCUUCUGCUAAAAAUCAUAAAAUGAAAUGUGGCUUUACAGAAGAUAAUGAUUUUCCAACAAUGUUAGAAUAUCAGAACUGAUCCAGUUCAAAGAACGGAAAGGUAAAGAAGGUGGACCUGUGGGAAAGACUCCCGCAGUGCACUGCCUAACACAAAGUUCUUUAUUGUUUUCUCGGAUAUAGAGAAUAACUAAAUAUUUCAUAUUUUUAUAUUAGGUUUUUUAAACAUUUUUUCCACUCUAUAAGUCUCCACUGAUUAGACUGAAAUAGAGUCCAGUAAAUUAAUGGCCGAUUGAAUUUUUUUUUGAGGUUUGGCGGCCAUCUCUUUUUCUGUUCCGCUGGUACUAUAACAAAAUUCUGCAGAUACCUUGGCAACAGUAGCGGAAUCCUUAACACAAACCAGUAACGCAAGUACAUGGUAGCUAAGAAUAUAUAGGGGCUAACUUGGAGCAAGAGAACUCCUUUAGGUAUUACCAUUAUUAUUGUCAAGCACAUCUACCAGAAUCUUUUUUUAAGGGAGAAACAUGACACUAGCCAAUUUAUUUAGUUCUCAUCAGUAAAUAAAAACAGGUACUAAAAUAGUUAUCCAGAAAGGGUAGCUUCCUAGUUGUAAUCAUACCUAAUUGUAGAACUCCGGGUACGAUUUAGUGUGAACGACGCACCUUCUGAACUCCUGACCUCCAGCCAGAACAAUCAAAUUGAUCAACAUAUUGGAUUGGCCUGCUUGGGACGUAGCUAGUAAGUCAGCUAUCUUGAUUGGGACGUAGCUAGUAAGCCUCAUGAAAUCAAUCCAGUGGCCUGCUUGGACGUAGCUAGUAAAUCAAUCCAGC
RNAcentral lists this long non-coding RNA (1677 nucleotides) under Triticum aestivum (bread wheat). RNAcentral's name for it is "long non-coding RNA (TAES_LNC014886)". Lineage: Eukaryota; Viridiplantae; Streptophyta; Magnoliopsida; Poales; Poaceae. The record is from RNAcentral.